AGAGUUUGAUCAUGGCUCAGGACGAACGCUGGCGGCGUGCUUAACACAUGCAAGUCGAACGACUUCUAUAUUGGAAGCUUGCUGGAUUUAUAGAGUUAGUGGCGGACGGGUGAGUAACGCGUGAGGAUCUGCCCUUCGAGGGGGACAACAGUUGGAAACGCUGCUAAUACCCCAUAAGCGAGAGGUAAAGGAGUAAUCCACCAGAGAGGAUCUCGCGUCCUAUCAGCUAGUUGUAGGUACGGCUUACCAGGCAAUGACGGGUAACUGGUCUGAGAGGGCGACCAGUCACACUGGAACUGAGACACGGUCCAGACUCCUACGGGAGGCAGCAGUGGGGAAUAUUGGGCAAUGGGGGAAACCCUGACCCAGCGACGCCGCGUGAGGGAUGAAGUCUUUCGGGACGUAAACCUCUGUUGUACGGGAAGAAUAAAUUGACGGUACCGUACGAGGAAGGCCCGGCAAACUACGUGCCAGCAGCCGCGGUAAUACGUAGGGGCCAAGCGUUGUCCGGAAUUACUGGGCGUAAAGAGCACGUAGGCGGAUCGUUAAGUCGACUGUGAAAGUCCUGGGCUCAACCCGGGAAUUGCAGUUGAUACUGGCGGACUAGAGUACUGGAGAGGGAAGUGGAAUUCCCGGUGUAGCGGUGAAAUGCGCAGAUAUCGGGAGGAACACCAGUGGCGAAGGCGGCUUCCUGGCCAGUAACUGACGCUGAGGUGCGAAAGCUGGGGGAGCGAACCGGAUUAGAUACCCGGGUAGUCCCAGCCGUAAACCGAUGAAUGCUAGGUGUUCGCAGUGCGAGCUGUGAGUGCCGCAGUUAACGCGAUAAGCCAUUCCGCCUGGGGAGUACGGCCA
RNAcentral lists this ribosomal RNA (852 nucleotides) under uncultured bacterium. Its description in RNAcentral is "bacterial SSU rRNA". It matches the Rfam family "Bacterial small subunit ribosomal RNA", at positions 8 to 888 of the family's 1533-position model. The record is from RNAcentral.